Molecule: ribosomal RNA, 274 nt
Filed under: uncultured bacterium
Lineage: Bacteria
Description: partial 16S ribosomal RNA
Rfam family: Bacterial small subunit ribosomal RNA
Source: RNAcentral
AUACGAAAGGUGCAAGCGUUGUUCGGAUUUACUGGGUGUAAAGAGAGUGUAGGUUGUUUAUUAAGUCGGAUGUGAAAUCCCGGGGCUCAACCUCGGAACUGCAUUCGAUACUGGUAGACUAGAGUUCGGGAGGGGUAAGCGGAAUUCCGUGUGUAGCAGUGAAAUGCGUAGAUAUACGGAGGAACACCUGAGGCGAAGGCGGCUUACUGGACCGAUACUGACACUGAGACUCGAAAGCGUGGGUAGCAAACAGGAUUAGAAACCCUAGUAGUCC